GGCCCUACGGGGCGCAGCAGGCGCGAAACCUCCACAAUGUGAGAAAUCGCGAUGGGGGAAUCCCAAGUGCCAUUCUUAACGGGAUGGCUUUUCUUAAGUGUAAAGAGCUUUUGGAAUAAGAGCUGGGCAAGACCGGUGCCAGCCGCCGCGGUAACACCGGCGGCUCGAGUGGUAACCGUUAUUAUUGGGUCUAAAGGGUCUGUAGCCGGCCGGAUAAGUCUCUUGAGAAAUCUGGCAGCUUAACUGUCAGGCUUUCAGGAGAUACUGUCUGGCUCGAGGCCGGGAGAGGUGAGAGGUACUUCAGGGGUAGGGGUGAAAUCUUGUAAUCCUUGAAGGACCACCAGUGGCGAAGGCGUCUCACCAGAACGGACCUGACGGCAAGGGACGAAAGCUAGGGGCACGAACCGGAUUAGAUACCCGGGUAGUCCUAGCCGUAAACGAUACUCGCUAGGUGUCGGCCACGGUGCGACCGUUGUCGGUGCCGUAGGGAAGCCGUGAAGCGAGCCACCUGGGAAGUACGGCCGCAAGGCUGAAACUUAAAGGAAUUGGCGGGGGAGCACCACAACGGGUGGAGCUUGCGGUUUAAUUGGAUUCAACGCCGGAAAUCUU
This 609-nucleotide ribosomal RNA is filed under the name uncultured archaeon. Its description in RNAcentral is "bacterial SSU rRNA". It matches the Rfam family "Archaeal small subunit ribosomal RNA", at positions 319 to 928 of the family's 1478-position model. The record is from RNAcentral.